AGCGCAGGCGAGAGAACAAGUUGGAAGUGAAAUCCAUGGGCUCAACCCAUGAACUGCUUUCAAAACUGUUUUUCUUUGAGUAGUGCAGAGGUAGGCGGAAUUCCCGGUGUAGCGGUGGAAUGCGUAGAUAUCGGGAGGAACACCAGUGGCGAAGGCGGCUUCCUGGCCGGAUACUGACGCUCAAGUGCGAAAGCUGGGGGGAGCGAACG
RNAcentral lists this ribosomal RNA (209 nucleotides) under uncultured bacterium. Its description in RNAcentral is "partial 16S ribosomal RNA". It matches the Rfam family "Bacterial small subunit ribosomal RNA", at positions 568 to 774 of the family's 1533-position model. The record is from RNAcentral.